This 308-nucleotide long non-coding RNA is filed under the name Malus domestica (apple). RNAcentral describes it as "long non-coding RNA (MDOM_LNC002524)". The record is from RNAcentral. Lineage: Eukaryota; Viridiplantae; Streptophyta; Magnoliopsida; Rosales; Rosaceae.
GAUGGUCUAAGGAAUCAAACCCAAUCUAUAUGGGCUUUCCACGAAUUAUACAAAGUUGGCAACUUUGAGCAUGAUGAACAAGACAUGCCCUAAAAAGUCAUCCACGUGUAUUUUAAAAUUCUUUGUUUUUUAUUUGGCUGAAUAAAACUUGAAGGGCAUUGUCAACCCUCAACAGUUAAAUAUAUUGCAAAUCAAUAUCUUCACUCAAUUACCACAAGCAACCCACAUAGUCAAACAGUAGAUCCUCUAGUACGCAACUACUUUCACGGUAUAUUCAAUUGGGGUACUCUGCAAUCAAGCAUUAUUCA